RNAcentral lists this transfer RNA (72 nucleotides) under Streptococcaceae bacterium. RNAcentral describes it as "tRNA-Gly". It matches the Rfam family "tRNA". Rfam says of the family: Transfer RNA (tRNA) molecules are approximately 80 nucleotides in length. Their secondary structure includes four short double-helical elements and three loops (D, anti-codon, and T loops). Further hydrogen bonds mediate the characteristic L-shaped molecular structure. tRNAs have two regions of fundamental functional importance: the anti-codon, which is responsible for specific mRNA codon recognition, and the 3' end, to which the tRNAs corresponding amino acid is attached (by aminoacyl-tRNA synthetases). tRNAs cope with the degeneracy of the genetic code in two manners: having more than one tRNA (with a specific anti-codon) for a particular amino acid; and 'wobble' base-pairing, i.e. permitting non-standard base-pairing at the 3rd anti-codon position. RNAcentral also lists the same sequence under 1 other name. Lineage: Bacteria; Bacillati; Bacillota; Bacilli; Lactobacillales; Streptococcaceae. The record is from RNAcentral.
GCGAACGUAGCUCAGGGGUAGAGCUCUACCUUGCCAUGGUAGAGGUCGCGGGUUCGAAUCCCGUCGUUCGCU